This 253-nucleotide ribosomal RNA is filed under the name uncultured bacterium. Its description in RNAcentral is "partial 16S ribosomal RNA". It matches the Rfam family "Bacterial small subunit ribosomal RNA", at positions 524 to 776 of the family's 1533-position model. The record is from RNAcentral.
UACGUAGGGCGCAAGCGUUGUCCGGAAUUAUUGGGCGUAAAGAGCUCGUAGGCGGCUCGUCACGUCGGGUGUGAAAGCCCGGGGCUUAACCCCGGGUCUGCAUUCGAUACGGGCAGGCUAGAGUGUGGUAGGGGAGAUCGGAAUUCCUGGUGUAGCGGUGAAAUGCGCAGAUAUCAGGAAGAACACCAAUGGCGAAGGCAGCUCUCUGGGACGGUACUGACGCUGAGACGCGAAAGCGUGGGGAGCGAACAGG